This 254-nucleotide ribosomal RNA is filed under the name uncultured bacterium. RNAcentral describes it as "partial 16S ribosomal RNA". It matches the Rfam family "Bacterial small subunit ribosomal RNA", at positions 524 to 777 of the family's 1533-position model. The record is from RNAcentral.
UACGAAGGGGGCUAGCGUUGCUCGGAAUUACUGGGCGUAAAGCGCACGUAGGCGGAUUGUUAAGUCAGGGGUGAAAUCCUGGAGCUCAACUCCAGAACUGCCUUUGAUACUGGCAAUCUUGAGUCCGGAAGAGGUGAGUGGAACUCCUAGUGUAGAGGUGGAAUUCGUAGAUAUUAGGAAGAACACCAGUGGCGAAGGCGGCUCACUGGUCCGGUACUGACGCUGAGGUGCGAAAGCGUGGGGAGCAAACAGGG